AUCCUCUCAGGGUCGUCCCUGGAGAGUUUCCAGUACUCUACCGGUCUCCGCUACAGGAGGGAGAGUCAAGCAGAGGCAUAGCCAAUCCAUUCCUAGCUUGGCCAGUGGCUAGAGAGUGGAAGGCCAUCUGCUACGAGU
Ornithorhynchus anatinus (platypus) is the source of this 138-nucleotide small nucleolar RNA. Lineage: Eukaryota; Metazoa; Chordata; Mammalia; Monotremata; Ornithorhynchidae. The record is from RefSeq and is a predicted model, not a curated record.